This 141-nucleotide ribosomal RNA is filed under the name uncultured bacterium. RNAcentral describes it as "partial 16S rRNA". It matches the Rfam family "Bacterial small subunit ribosomal RNA", at positions 355 to 511 of the family's 1533-position model. The record is from RNAcentral.
UGGGGAAUUUUCCGCAAUGGGCGAAAGCCUGACGGAGCAAUGCCGCGUGGAGGUGGAAGGCCUACGGGUCGUCAACUUCUUUUCUCGGAGAAGAAACAAUGACGGUAUCUGAGUAAUAAGCAUCGGCUAACUCUGUGCCAG